Molecule: ribosomal RNA, 367 nt
Filed under: Pandalus eous
Lineage: Eukaryota; Metazoa; Arthropoda; Malacostraca; Decapoda; Pandalidae
Description: partial 16S ribosomal RNA
Rfam family: Bacterial large subunit ribosomal RNA
Source: RNAcentral
GCAUAAUCAGUAGUCUUUUAAUUGAAGGCUGGAAUGAAUGGUUGGACAAGGGGGAAGCUGUCUCUUUUUACAAUUUUUGAAUUUUACUUUUAAGUGAAAAGGCUUAAAUAAUUUGGGGGGACGAUAAGACCCUAUAAAAUUUUACAAAAUUGGGAUUUUUUUUUGAAUUAAGGUUUAAAUUCUAUAAGUUCUUAUUUGUUUUGUUGGGGCGGCAAAGAUAAAAAUUAGUAACUGUCAUUUAAUUAGAAUAAUUAUAAUUAGUUUAAUUGAUCCUUUAUUAGAGAUUAAAAGAUUAAGUUACUUUAGGGAUAACAGCGUAAUUUUCCCUGACAGUUCUUAUCGACGGGAGUAGUUGCGACCCCGAUGU